AUUGGGAACGGAGAAUGGACGGGUGACAGCCAAGGUGUGUGGCUGCAAGCUCCCCUUCCCACUAUUCUCCAUUCAUGAUGCAACAGGAGGUGGCUGCAUUUUUUUGACAACCAGAUCAAGACAACGGCGAUAGGGAGCAAUUUUGGCUUCAUGGUACCUAUGAAUCCAUCAGCAGUCUGGCAACAUUAGUCGAAGAGAGGUUGCAAGGUAAAGAACUUCUUGUAGAAAGCAUUUAGCUUCCAAAACAAGAGUAAUAUAUGGACACAAUUGAUUAAACAAAUUAACAGGAAUGACGCUGGAGAGAUUUUGUUUAGAGCAUAUCGAUUUAAGCCACUGUCGCUUUCAGGAAAGAGAAGGUACAUAUAGU
Triticum dicoccoides is the source of this 367-nucleotide long non-coding RNA. RefSeq lists it as uncharacterized. Lineage: Eukaryota; Viridiplantae; Streptophyta; Magnoliopsida; Poales; Poaceae. The transcript has 3 exons. The record is from RefSeq and is a predicted model, not a curated record.